RNAcentral lists this long non-coding RNA (431 nucleotides) under Rattus norvegicus (Norway rat). Its description in RNAcentral is "long non-coding RNA NONRATT000566". Lineage: Eukaryota; Metazoa; Chordata; Mammalia; Rodentia; Muridae. The record is from RNAcentral.
CCCCCUUCCCCUCUUCCUCUCCCUCCUCCUCCUCCUCCCCAUCUGUCACCGGGAUCCACAGGCUGCUGCCUCAGAGCCCAUCCCCCAUGGGGCUCCUGUUUCUGCCCAUAUGGUGCCUGUCCCUUGCUGGUUGUCUGGGGGGCUCACCCUCUCUCUCCCUCUCUCUCCCCCCUGACUGUCUAUACUGUCCUGGGAUUCCCUGUAUACCUCUUGAAGGGGCCCCCAUCCCGCAGGUUCUGAAGCUGGGCAACACGGCCACUCCCACUUCCUUCCCAGCUUUAAAAGGGAAAAUAUUCAUGGUUCUACCCUUAGCUCCUAGAUGCCUGAGAGACAAACGUCACCGCCUGUCAGUCUGCCUGGAGCUGGCUCAGACCUGGUCUCUGGGGACUGUUUCCCAGCCUGAGAAACAUCUCCUCCUUCCUUCUGAGCCU